This 74-nucleotide transfer RNA is filed under the name Staphylococcus aureus. Its description in RNAcentral is "tRNA-Met". It matches the Rfam family "tRNA". Rfam says of the family: Transfer RNA (tRNA) molecules are approximately 80 nucleotides in length. The record is from RNAcentral. Lineage: Bacteria; Bacillati; Bacillota; Bacilli; Caryophanales; Staphylococcaceae.
CGCGGGAUGGAGCAGUUCGGUAGCUCGUCGGGCUCAUACCCCGAAGGUCGGUGGUUCACAGCCGCCUCCCGCAA